Molecule: ribosomal RNA, 432 nt
Filed under: uncultured bacterium
Lineage: Bacteria
Description: partial 16S ribosomal RNA
Rfam family: Bacterial small subunit ribosomal RNA
Source: RNAcentral
AACGAACGCUGGCGGCAUGCCUAACACAUGCAAGUCGAACGAGACCUUCGGGUCUAGUGGCGCACGGGUGCGUAACGCGUGGGAACCUGCCCUUAGGUUCGGAAUAACUCCCCGAAAGGGGUGCUAAUACCGGAUAAUGUCUUCGGACCAAAGAUUUAUCGCCUUUGGAUGGGCCCGCGUUGGAUUAGCUAGUUGGUAGGGUAAAAGCCUACCAAGGCGACGAUCCAUAGCUGGUCUGAGAGGAUGAUCAGCCACACUGGGACUGAGACACGGCCGGGAUUCCUGGGGGAGAGGGAAGGGGGGAAAAUGGCAAAUGGAGCAAAAGCACGCUACAGCACAGCCGGGUGAAGGGAGAAGGCCUUGGGGUUUAAAAGUCUUUUAGCCCGGGAUGGAAUGGAGAGGACGGGGGGAAGAGGCACCGGCUAAUCCGGA